UAAAAAUCAAUGAAAAGGAAUAGUAAUUGUCUGUAAUCUUUUAGAGAGCUUGUGGCUGGUGGAAACAAGUAGAGGAAGCAAUGAACUCGCCUUGGAGAUGUAAGGGUGAAUCAAGUAGUCUUUACCGUAUCACUGCGUUAAAGUGUUGAGGGCAUACAAUGAUUGUAUGAACUAAGGUGGUAACGCGAUAAAGUCGUCCUUAGA
This 204-nucleotide non-coding RNA is filed under the name Candidatus Stoquefichus. RNAcentral describes it as "T-box sequence". It matches the Rfam family "T-box leader". Rfam says of the family: Uncharged tRNA acts as the effector for transcription antitermination of genes in the T-box leader family. T-boxes are found upstream of many aminoacyl-tRNA synthetase genes and some amino acid biosynthetic genes usually in Gram-positive bacteria. Lineage: Bacteria; Bacillati; Bacillota; Erysipelotrichia; Erysipelotrichales; Erysipelotrichaceae. The record is from RNAcentral.